AGAGUUUGAUCAUGGCUCAGAUUGAACGCUGGCGGCGUGCUUAACACAUGCAAGUCGUACGCGAAAGGGGCUUCGGUCCCGAGUAAAGUGGCGCACGGGUGAGUAACACGUGGAUAAUCUGCCUCUAUGAUGGGGAUAACAGUUGGAAACGACUGCUAAUACCGAAUACGCUCAUGAUGAACUUUGUGAGGAAAGGUGGCCUCUGCUUGCAAGCUAUCGCAUAGAGAUGAGUCCGCGUCCCAUUAGCUAGUUGGUGGGGUAACGGCCUACCAAGGCAACGAUGGGUAGCCGAUCUGAGAGGAUGAUCGGCCACACUGGAACUGAAACNCGGUCCAGACUCCUACGGGAGGCA
This 352-nucleotide ribosomal RNA is filed under the name uncultured bacterium. RNAcentral describes it as "bacterial SSU rRNA". It matches the Rfam family "Bacterial small subunit ribosomal RNA", at positions 8 to 350 of the family's 1533-position model. The record is from RNAcentral.